Molecule: ribosomal RNA, 301 nt
Filed under: uncultured bacterium
Lineage: Bacteria
Description: partial 16S ribosomal RNA
Rfam family: Bacterial small subunit ribosomal RNA
Source: RNAcentral
CAGUAGCCACGGUAAUACGGAGGAUGCGAGCGUUAUCCGGAUUUAUUGGGCGUAAAGGGUGCGUAGGCGGUUUGGCAAGUCUUCUGUGAAAGUCAAGGGCUCAACCUUUGAAAGCCGGUGGAUACUGGAUGGCUAGAGUACGGAAGAGGCGAGUGGAAUUCCUGGUGUAGCGGUGGGAUGCGCAGAUAUCAGGAGGAACACCAAUAGCGAAGGCAGCUCGCUGGGACGUUACUGACACUAAGGCGCGAAAGCGUGGGGAGCGAACAGGAUUAGAUACCCCGGUAGUCCCUGUCUCUUAUAC